GAUGAACGCUGGCGGCGUGCCUAAUACAUGCAAGUCGAGCGAACGGACGAGAAGCUUGCUUCUCUGAUGUUAGCGGCGGACGGGUGAGUAACACGUGGAUAACCUACCUAUAAGACUGGGAUAACUUCGGGAAACCGGAGCUAAUACCGGAUAAUAUUUUGAACCGCAUGGUUCAAAAGUGAAAGACGGUCUUGCUGUCACUUAUAGAUGGAUCCGCGCUGCAUUAGCUAGUUGGUAAGGUAACGGCUUACCAAGGCAACGAUGCAUAGCCGACCUGAGAGGGUGAUCGGCCACACGGGAACUGAGACACGGUCCAGACUGCUACGGGAGGCAGCAGUAGGGAAUCGUCCGCAAUGGGCGAAAGCCUGACGGAGCAACGCCGCGUGAGUGAUGAAGGUCUUCGGAUCGUAAAACUCUGUUAUUAGGGAAGAACAUAUGUGUAAGUAACUGUGCACAUCUUGACGGUACCUAAGCAGAAAGCCACGGCUAACUACGU
Molecule: ribosomal RNA, 496 nt
Filed under: uncultured bacterium
Lineage: Bacteria
Description: partial 16S ribosomal RNA
Rfam family: Bacterial small subunit ribosomal RNA
Source: RNAcentral